UGGGGAAUUUUGGACAAUGGGCGAAAGCCUGAUCCAGCAAUGCCGCGUGUGUGAAGAAGGCCUUCGGGUUGUAAAGCACUUUUGUCCGGAAAGAAAUCCUUGGCUCUAAUACAGUCGGGGGAUGACGGUACCGGAAGAAUAAGCACCGGCUAACUACGUGCCAGCAGCCGCGGUAAUACGUAGGGUGCAAGCGUUAAUCGGAAUUACUGGGCGUAAAGCGUGCGCAGGCGGUUUGCUAAGACCGAUGUGAAAUCCCCGGGCUCAACCUGGGAACUGCAUUGGUGACUGGCAGGCUAGAGUAUGGCAGAGGGGGGUUAGAAUUCCACGUGUAGCAGUGAAAUGCGUAGAGAUGUGGAGGAAUACCGAUGGCGAAGGCAGCCCCCUGGGCCAAAUACUGACGCUCAUGCACGAAAGCGUGGGGGAGCAAAACAGGAUUAGAUACCCUGGUAGUCCACGCCCUAAAACGAUGUCAACUAGUUGUUGGGGAUUCAUUUUCCUUAGUAACGUAGCUAACGCGUGAAGUUGACCGCCUGGGGGAGUACGGUCGCAAGAUUAAAACUUAAAUGAAUUGACGGGGUCAUAGCUGUUUCCU
This 592-nucleotide ribosomal RNA is filed under the name uncultured bacterium. RNAcentral's name for it is "partial 16S ribosomal RNA". It matches the Rfam family "Bacterial small subunit ribosomal RNA", at positions 355 to 1375 of the family's 1533-position model. The record is from RNAcentral.